CAGUCGCCGCGGGAAAACGUAGGUGGUAAGCGUUGUCCGGAAUUAUUGGGCGUAAAGCGCGCGCAGGCGGAUCGGUCAGUCUGUCUUAAGAGUUCGGGGCUUAACCCCGUGAUGGGAUGGAAACUGCCAAUCUAGAGUAUCGGAGAGGAAAGUGGAAUUCCUAGUGUAGCGGUGAAAUGCGUAGAUAUUAGGAAGAACACCAGUGGCGAAGGCGACUUUCUGGACGAAAACUGACGCUGAGGCGCGAAAGCCAGGGGAGCGAACGGGAUUAGAGACCCCCGUAGUCCCUGUCUCUUAUACA
This 301-nucleotide ribosomal RNA is filed under the name uncultured bacterium. RNAcentral describes it as "partial 16S ribosomal RNA". It matches the Rfam family "Bacterial small subunit ribosomal RNA", at positions 509 to 809 of the family's 1533-position model. The record is from RNAcentral.